Molecule: ribosomal RNA, 408 nt
Filed under: uncultured bacterium
Lineage: Bacteria
Description: partial 16S ribosomal RNA
Rfam family: Bacterial small subunit ribosomal RNA
Source: RNAcentral
GACGAACGCUGGCGGCGUGCUUAACACAUGCAAGUCGAACGGAGUGGCGAACGGGUGAGUAACACGUGGGUGACCUGCCCUGCAAUUCGGGAUAAGCCUGGGAAACUGGGUCUAAUACCGGAUAGGGUGGGAUGGGCCCGCGGCCUAUCAUGUUGUUGGUGGGGUAAUGGCCUACCAAGGCGGCGACUGGUAGCCGGCCUGAGAGGGUAGACGGCCACCUUAGUCCUGAGGCACGGACCAGUAUCGUACCGGAGGCAGUGGUGGGGAAUCUUGCACAGUAAGGGGACGCCAGAUGCGGCGGCGCCGCGUGGGUAAUGACCGCCUUCGGGUUGAAAACUCCUUUCUCAGUAACCGCGGUAGAUGGAGAAGAAGCACCGGCUAACUACGUGCCAGCAGCCGCGGUAAUAC